GAUUGGUCCAAAAGUAGUGGGUUAUUGAUUUGCAUUCUCCAUCUCCCCUUUUUCUCCACUACUGCCUUUGACCGAUUUUAU
This 81-nucleotide Y RNA is filed under the name Alligator mississippiensis (American alligator). It matches the Rfam family "Y RNA". From Rfam's summary of the family: Y RNAs are components of the Ro ribonucleoprotein particle (Ro RNP), in association with Ro60 and La proteins. The Y RNAs and Ro60 and La proteins are well conserved, but the function of the Ro RNP is not known. Lineage: Eukaryota; Metazoa; Chordata; Crocodylia; Alligatoridae. The record is from Rfam by way of RNAcentral.